This 74-nucleotide transfer RNA is filed under the name Pseudanabaena sp. RU_4_16. Its description in RNAcentral is "tRNA-Arg". It matches the Rfam family "tRNA". From Rfam's summary of the family: Transfer RNA (tRNA) molecules are approximately 80 nucleotides in length. Their secondary structure includes four short double-helical elements and three loops (D, anti-codon, and T loops). The record is from RNAcentral. RNAcentral also lists the same sequence under 1 other name. Lineage: Bacteria; Bacillati; Cyanobacteriota; Cyanophyceae; Pseudanabaenales; Pseudanabaenaceae.
GGGCCUGUAGCUCAGCUGUAUAGAGCAACCGCCUUCUAAGCGGUCGGUCACUGGUUAGAGUCCAGUCAGGCCCG